UCCUACGGGAGGCAGCAGUGGGGAAUAUUGCACAAUGGGCGCAAGCCUGAUGCAGCCAUGCCGCGUGUAUGAAGAAGGCCUUCGGGUUGUAAAGUACUUUCAGCAGUGAGGAAGGUGGGUAUGUUAAUAGCAUAUUCAUUUGACGUUAGCUGCAGAAGAAGCACCGGCUAACUCCGUGCCAGCAGCCGCGGUAAUACGGAGGGUGCGAGCGUUAAUCGGAAUUACUGGGCGUAAAGCGCAUGCAGGUGGUUUGUUAAGUCAGAUGUGAAAGCCCGGGGCUCAACCUCGGAAUUGCAUUUGAAACUGGCAAACUAGAGUACUGUAGAGGGGGUAGAAUUUCAGGUGUAGCGGUGAAAAUGCGUAGAGAUCUGAAGGAAUACCGGUGGCGAAGGCGGCCCCCUGGACAGAUACUGACACUCAGAUGCGAAAGCGUGGGGAGCAAACAGGAUUAGAUACCCCGGUAG
Molecule: ribosomal RNA, 464 nt
Filed under: uncultured bacterium
Lineage: Bacteria
Description: bacterial SSU rRNA
Rfam family: Bacterial small subunit ribosomal RNA
Source: RNAcentral